AAUUAAAUUAUUAAGGGCUAGUAAAGGAUUUCUUGGAAAUGAUAGGCGAUGAAGGACGUGCAAAUCUGCGAAAAGUAUCGGGGAGUCGAUUAGAGACCUUGAUCCGGUAAUCUCCGAAUGUGGAAACACAGUAGAAACUAAUCUUUCUACUAUUGUUGGGUGAAUUAAAUAACCCGACAAGGCGAACUCGGCGAAGUGAAACAUCUCAGUAGCCGGAGGAAAAGAAAACGAAGCGAUUCCCUCAGUAGUGGUGAGCGGAAGGGGAAAAGGCUAAACCGAAAGAUCUAGACGAAAUUUCGGGGUUGUAGGACCUCGAUAAAGCUAUUUUGAAAUGUAGUGGAAAAUCACUGGAAUGUGAUGUUAUAAAGGGUGAUAGCCCCGUACAUUAAACAUCGAGAAAAGCUUGAGGUAUCCUGAGUAGGGCGGGACAUGUGAACCCUGUUUGAAUCUGCCCCGACCAUGGGGUAAGCCUAAAUACUAAUCAUUUACCGAUAGUGAAUAAGUACUGUGAAGGAAAGAUGAAAAAGAACCCAGAUAUGGGAGUGAAAUAGAACUUGAAAUUACUAGCCUACAAAGAGUCGAAGCACAUUAAUGUGUGACGGCGUGCGUUUUGAAGUAUGAGCCGGAGAGUUAUUGUAAGUUGCAAAGUUAAGCCGUGAAAAAGGUGGAGCUGGAGCGAAAGCAAGUCUUAAUAGGGCGUUAAGUAGCUUACAAUAGACCCGAAAGGGGACGAGCUAUUCAUGAGCAGGUUGAAAUUUGGAUAAAACUAGAUGAAGGACUGAACCGACUGUCGUUGAAAUGAUAGCGGAGGACUUGUGAAUAGAGGUGAAAUUCCAAUCGAGUUCCCUGAUAGCUGGUUUUUGUCGAUAUAGUUUUAGGACUAGCGUCAAAUAAAUUGAUAAUUGGAGGUAAAGCACUAAAUCUAUAAGGGCACUUCGCUGUGUACUAAAUAGAAUUAAACUCUGAAUUCCAGUUAUUUUACUUUGGCAGUGAGACUAUUUGGGAUAAGCUUUAUAGUCGUGAGGGAAAGAGCCCAGACCAACAAAUAAGGUCCCUAAAUUAAGCUAAGUGGAAAAGGAAGUCAAAAUUCAUAAACAACUAGGAUGUUGGCUUAGAAGCAGCCAUCAUUUAAAGAGUGCGUAAUAGCUCACUAGUCUAGUUUUUUGGCGCCGCAAGUACAACGGGGCUAAGCUUAAUACCGAAUUUUUGGAUUUAAGAUUUAAUAAUUUUAAGUGGUAGACAAAUGUUGUAUAAGGGUUGAAGUUUGAACGAGAGUAUAAAUGGACUUUAUACAAGUAAGAAUUCCGGCGUAAGUAACGAAUGAAAGUGAGAAUCUUUCUAGCCGAUUGAUCAAGGUUUCCGGGGCUAGGUUCGUCCUCCUCGGGUUAGUCGAUCCUAAGGUGAGGCCGAAAGGCGUAGCCGAUGGACAACAGGUUAAUAUUCCUGUACUACCUUAGAUUGUCAACGGGCGGACAAAAGAGGUUAAAGUAAAAGGAUUAUUGGAUUUCCUUCUAAGUUUCGAAGCAAGUCGAGGCUGAAAAUCACCCCGACAUUAAUUGCAAGAAACGAAUGCUAUUUUUGGUAGGGAUAUCAGGAAGAAUUACUACCAAUCUCUUUUCGCGAAAAAACUCUAGACUUAAAUCUAAGGUAUUCGUACCGAAACCGAACACACGUGAUCAAGGAGAAUAUCCUAAGGCUAGCGAGCUAACUACAGUUAAGGAACUCUGCAAAUUAACUCUGUAACUUAGGGAGAAAGAGUGCCCCAGAAGGAAUCUGGGGCCACAGUAAAGAACGAGGGCGAACUGUUUAACAAAAACACAGCUAUAUGCAAAAUUCGAAUAUGAAGUAUAUGUGGCGACACCUGCCCGGUGCCAGAAGGUCAAAGAAGGUUGUUAGGCUAGCUUCGGCUAGCCAAAGCUUCUAACUUAAGCCCUGGUGAACGGCGGCCGUAACUAUAACGGUCCUAAGGUAGCGAAAUUCCUUGUCAGGUAAAUUCUGUCCCGCUUGAAUGGUGUAAUCAGCUCUUGACUGUCUCGACUGUAGGCUCGGUGAAAUCCUGGCGAGAGUGAAGACACUCUCUUGCCGCUACGGGACGAACAGACCCUAUGAAGCUUUACUGUAACUUGAUAUUGUAAAGAGUUUUUGAUAUUAGAGAAUAUGUAGGAGACUAGGAAGAUGAUGCGCUAGUAUUGUUGGAGUCGACAGUGGAAUACUACAAUUUCAAUGACUUUUUGCUUACAUAUUGCCAUAAAUCUGGUGUAUGGACAGUGUUAGGUGGGCAGUUUGACUGGGGCGGUUGCCUCCCAAAUUGUAACGGAGGCGUUCAAAGGUACACUUAGCGCGAAUGGAAAUCGCGCAGAAAGGGUAAUACUAUAUGUGUGCUUGAUUGUGAGACAAACAAGUCGACCAAGUAAGAAAUUAGGAUAUAGUGAUCCGGUGGUUCCAAAUGGAAGGGCCAUCGCUCAACGGAUAAAAGCUACUCUAGGGAUAACAGGGUAAUAAUCUCCAAGAGUUCAUAUCGACGAGAUUGUUUGCUACCUCGAUGUCGACUCAUCUUAUCCUGGGGGUGAAGCAGCUCCCAAGGGUUCGGCUGUUCGCCGAUUAAAAAGAUACGUGAGUUGGGUUCAAACCGUCGUGAGACAGGUUGGUCUCUAUCUAUAGCGGCUGAAGGAAAUUUGAGAGGAUUCAUUCCUAGUACGAGAGGACCGGAAUGAACAUACCUCUGUUGUACCAGUUGUUUUGCCAGAAGCAUUGCUGGAUAGAUAAGUAUGGAUUAGAUAAACGCUGAAAGCAUCUAAGUGUGAAACUAACCUCAAAAAAAUUUCCCUCUUUAAGUGGAACUUAAAGAUAAGCAUGGUGGCAGACUACCACCUCGAUAGGCUACAAAUGUAAGUACAGUAAUGUAUUAAGUUAAGUAGUACUAAUUAUGCGAAAGAUUUAAUGAG
This is a ribosomal RNA of Mycoplasma parvum str. Indiana, 2945 nucleotides long. It matches the Rfam family "Bacterial large subunit ribosomal RNA". The record is from Rfam. Lineage: Bacteria; Bacillati; Mycoplasmatota; Mollicutes; Mycoplasmatales; Mycoplasmataceae.